Long non-coding RNA from Pseudopipra pipra, 7415 nucleotides. RefSeq lists it as uncharacterized. The record is from RefSeq and is a predicted model, not a curated record. The transcript has 2 exons. NCBI's taxonomy places the organism in Eukaryota, Metazoa, Chordata, Aves, Passeriformes, Pipridae.
UGUACCCACGCCUGCCAAAGGGCCAACCAGCUUCCCAUCCCUUCUCCCUUUCCUUGUCUGUAAGAGUCAGGGAGAAGUGCUUAAAGGCACCACAGCAGUGUGAAGCCCUGCUGUGCAAGAUCUGGUUUUUCUCAGCAAGGCCUCCUAGAUCACAGCCCUCUGGAAGCUGCUGGAUGAUCACAACCUCCUGACAAUGGGAAACCUGGUAGCAUCUCGUUCUCCAGCUGCACACAGCUCUUAGUUUUACUAACAAGCCAUCAAGGAAAAGGCUUGAACUGUGGGUGAGCCAUGUUGGGAGCCUCCUGGAGAAGGGAAAAGUGUCCCAGCCGGACUUGCAGUGCUGCAGCAGCAUGAGCUCAGUGGUGCUCCUCAAGAUUCACUGAGAUGCUUGCUUAUCCUGCCACCCAAGCCCUGCAUGUUGCAGUUGGAAGGCACCCCUUCUGGCUUAGGGGUGCUGCCAAGAGUGGCUGCAUUAUCAAAAAAGUUCUCAUUGCAGCAGGCUUUACAAGAAAGAGUCAGCCUGGGGCAUUGGGAGUGGGGAUAGAAAGAAGAAAGACUUGCAGCAUUCUUUUAUUAAUGAAGUUAUUUUAAAAUGUUAAAAAGUUUCUAACAUAAAAAAGGCCACUGGGUAGGAUUGGCCAAAACCAACAUGAUAAUGUAACAGGAACCCAUCUGCCUUGUUUUAUGGCCUCCUGCCCUCCACCCUGAGCAGACAAAGGCCAACAACCAGCCUCAUGUCCAGAGGUCACAAUUUGCAGAGCAAAGGGAUUUGGCAGAAAAUGUGUUGCAGAGUAACUUUGUAUAACAGGAACUUUUUUAAUUAGGGGAUGGGGGGGAAGGGAUGUUAUAAAGUAAGAACUUUCAUGACUCUAAUGUGUACAUCUAAACCCAAACCUGGCUUUACCCAAGGGCUGGAGGUGUCAGGUAUUACCUGACACGAGCUGACGUUGCUGAUGGUUGUUCCUCUCCUCUGACACAGAUAUUUUUUAUGUUUUAGCUGGACAAAGGAGCCCAGAGAGCUGGGGUGAGCGACAUGCUUGGGAUGUUCCGGUCCUUCCCCGCGCAGGGAAGGGGCAGAGCCGGCGGCGGUGCGGAGAGCCCGUGCCGCGGUGUUUGCUGACAGCAGAGGGGGGUAUUGGGCCGCUUUUCCUCCGCAUCCCGGGCGGAGCUCGGGCAGCCGCCGGCGGAGCCUGGACCCCGCACCGCCCCCCGGGCCUCCGCGGGGCUCCCGAAGCUCUGCUCCCCGGCCUCUUUCCGGACACACGGGAUGGAGCGGAGACACUCCCGGGCCCGUCAGUCUGGUCGGCUCGUGUCGUGUGUCGGGAGGGGUGCGCGGGUGAAGCGGAGGGGUGGGCGCAGCAGCCCCGUGCCGGGAGGGGGGUCUGCGGAGUUUCCUUGCCCGCUCCUCGUCUCGAGGUUUCGGGUGGGAGAGGAGGGUCUCUCCUAGCCAACUUCUGCGCCCCAGGGCUGCUCCCGCGCCAUGUCAGAGCAAAGCCCCUCCGUGGGCAGCACACCUCACACUUGAAGGGUGUGCCCCGAUGGGUCUUGGCGAUGGGUGGAAGUUCACUUCCACCACACAGCUGGAAGUGCUGAGCUCUGUGGGGCCUUGGACUGAAGCCUCUGACACUCACUGGCCAGAGGUAAAUCACAGAACCAUAGGAUGGUUUGGGUUGGAAGGAACCUUAAAAAUCUCCUGGUUCCAAACUCCUGCCAUGGGCAGGGACACCUUCCACUAGAUCAGGUUGCUCAAAGCCCCAUCCAACCUGGCCUUGAACACUUCCAGUGAUGGAGCAUCCAUAACUUAUCUGGGCAACCUGUUCCAGUGCCUCACCACCCUCUGAGUAAAGAACUCCUUCCUAACACCUAAUCUAAAUCUCUCCUCUUUUAAUUUAAAACUGUUCCCCCUUGUUCUAUUACUAUCUGCCCAUGUGAAAACUAGUUCUCCUUCUUUUAUAUAAGCCCCCUUUAAUUACUGGAAGGUGCUCUAAGAUCUCCCCAGAGUCAUCUCUUCCCCAGGUUGAACAACUCCAGCUCUCUCAGCCUGUCCUCGUAGAACAGGUGCUCCAGCCCUCUGAUCACCUCUGUGGUGGCCCAGUUGUGUAGCUGGUCCCCAUGAAAUGGUGGAUUUAAUGGCAAAAGGAGACCCUGCGGGGUAAGAGUACACCUUUUAUAAUUUGGUUUGGCUCCUGGGGAUGAAAGGUAUUCUGUGAAGCUAAAAUAUUAAAGCUACCCUGGAUUAUUCAUUAAGCAUCAAUUAUCAUCAUCACAUUUACUGUCAGAUGUUUCAACGUUGCUAUUCUGCUUUAGGAAGGAACAUAUUUUUAGGCUGGUUUCCUAAGGAAAGGUGUUCUUGGGGUCAGUUGCACAGUCUGCUUGUCUGCCUGUCCUCACAGAUUUGGUGAGGAUAUUUCGGCCAAAGUUUACAGCAGGCUGGAAGUCUCCAAAAUAUUACAUUGUUGCAGAUUAAUUAGCAAAGGGGAUGGUGGGGUUGUCCCCCAGACCCAGCUAGUGCUGUGGGUGCAGGAAAGGCAAGCCCCUGAUGGGGUGGGCAUGGAUGGUCCUGGCUGCAGAAGAAGCUUCAGGCAUGGCAGCAUUGCCACCAACACUGGGAAGCUCAGCCAUAGGACACAACACCAUGGGAGAUUGGGCUUCCCUAACUCUGCUGCCCACUGAAAUAAUUUACAUAAAUACCUGUCCGGUAUGAACUGGCUUCUUAUUCCACGUUCUUUCUACUCCUUCUGCUUCCCCUUGUUUGUAUUUUUAUAGCAUUACAAAGUUGGAACAAGCUUUGGUUUAACAAUAAAGGCAGCCUCAUCUGGAAAACAGGAUGUUCCAAAAUAAGAUCUAAUUUUCCUUUGUGAGAACCUAAGGCAAAAGUAAAUUGAUAUCCACUUUAAAGGUAAACACAAACAAGGACUUAUUAUUUAUCAUUAAAACAUCUUAAAAAGGCUCUAGAGCCCUAAAAGCAAAAGUUUGAUGCUGUAUAAAAGAAUUAUGUUUCUGAGAUGUAUCAGUUCAAUAAUUAAAACAGCAUCUAUGAAAUAUAAAUGUAAGAUAUUAAUAAAUUAAAUUAAAUUAAAGCCACAGAAAGCCAAUUAUCUUGUAAAAUAUCUCUGAUAGCUAAACUAAUGAGAUGUAGAAAGAUUAAUUUAGAUCCCCAUUUUAGGAGGUGAUUAUAAAUUGCUGUAAUGCCACAUCCAGUUACUAGGUUGUUAUUGAAACUUGUGAAAUACAUUUGGAAAGGUUUUUAAAUAUUCAGAAUGAAGUAGAAAUUAGAAAGGAGUUAGAAAUAAUUAAAAAUUAGCUGUCUUGUCACAUUGCAGCUUUAAUCCUAUUACCUCUUCUAGUUUACAAAGCUUCAGAUGUCUUUCAAAGCAUUGAUCUGUGGGGAUGGUGGGGUUUAUGAGCAGGGAUUUAUGUGUUUUAAUAACUGCAGGACUCCAAAUAUUUCUCCUCAUUUCACUUAUUUGAGGGAUUCUUUCUAUGUAGAAUUAUCACCCUUGCUGCCAGCUCUGCCUGAUGGUUUCCUUUGGCCAUAGGGUAGGUCAAGCCAUCACCCAUGGUCCCAUAGAGCCCCCAGAGACCCACUGCUCUCCUUUCAGCUCCUGGUGAAAAUGCUGAGGAGCAUCAGUGAUGGUCUUUUUGGUCAGGGCAAAGCACAAGGCCUUCGCUCCUCAAUUCCUAUGGCUGUUGUAGCAAAGCACAGGGCUCUUGUGGCACACAGAAGGAUGAUGGUGCAAUGCAUGCCUAGAGCCCACGAACUUUGGUCUUGCCAUUGCCAGAGGCUGGCCACGAGGUUGGCCAAAAAACCAAAAGGCUGGGGUUUGGGAACCAAACCCCUGGGGUGCACAAGGUUUGCCAACCUUGUUUUGGUUGGGACUUGCCUCAUUUUUUGCAAGAUGUACCAUUUUUGCGAGAGCUUUGUAGCUGUAACAGCAAUUGCCAAACAACUCAGGGACCUCACUGAUCUGCACUCAGGUUCUGCUUCACCCAGUCCACGGGGUGCUGAAGGACCUCCAGCAGCACGGCUUGGCUGUAGUUUUGCAGCACAGGAGGAAAAACGCAGGCAGGGGAGGGCGGUGGGGCCUUGAACCCCCUGGCACAGGGUGAUACCGGCAGCCCCAGCGCUGUGAACUACUCCCCCAAGGGCAGCUGCUGCAUCAACAGAGAAACACGGCCUUGGAGCUGGGAAACACCACUCAUGGGCAGCCAGGAGGGUGAGGAGCAGUUCUGCCAGGCGUGCACAGCUCUGCCUGGAGGAUCAAUGUGGAUGUAACCAGCUCUGGGGACCGAGGAGCACAGUGAAGGGAGCCUUAAAGACAGGGUACAGAGAACCCCCAGGUGGGCUCUAGCAGAGGAAGAAGCAGAAUUCCACCACCACAACCACCCCGGAGAGGCAGACAGAGGGGUUCCAUCAGCUGCAUUGCGCUGCUUGGAGGUGAAGGACCGGGUCACAACGCCUGCAGCCAUCCUCGGGCAUCGGAGGGGUGAGCAUAAACCGGGGAAAGUUGUAGCCCCUAAGGGAGGGGGUGGGCUUGAUACUGAUACGGGAUUAUUUUCCCCUUUUAUCUCCUUUAUCCCUAAUAGUCUAGAUAAUAUCAUCCAGCAUUGUAAGUGGAUUGAUUAGCACUCUUUGAUCAGGCUGUUAAGACUCUGAAGUAGUCAAACAGCAGAUUCUCCCAUGUAAGGCGUGUUUCUCUGGCCCACAUAAAGGCACAAGCUGUGGUGCACAGAACUAGUGGAGAAGGCAGCAGCCCUCCUGGGAGCCCUUAUGGCAUUUUUGUGAGCAGCACUUCUGGGACAGCCUUUUUUGGGUGCCAUCCUGUGGCAGUCAGGGACAACUAGCAACAACACUACUCUGUGUCCACAUACCCUCAAGUGUCGUGCUGAAAGCAUAGCACCCAGUUUUGGGACCAACACAGGUAGCCCUUUAAAGACUUGUUGAAAAUACUGAAGUGGGAAAUCCAGCAGGUUUGAAAGCCUUCUUCCUUUUGCCUAGAGAGAACAAAUGCUCAAAGAAUGCCUCUAAGCAUCCAUGGACAGAGGAAUGAAAGCCCUCUGCCUUGCCUGGGAGAAGAGCUAAAUUAGAAAUCCCUGCUUGGGAGAUUUCUUCAUUGAGAAAACCUUCUGGAGGGAAGAAUUACUCUAGAAAAACAACAGAGGAGCAAGUCCAAAUUUGGGUGAGCCUCUGCUAUCUUCUCUCAGCCUGCUUGAGUUGUAAUUUGUAAUCAGACCUUUCUGUAAAGUCAAAAAUACCUUUAGAGGAGACAAAAAGAUGUCAGAGCUGGCAAACUGGGUUGUUCAGUGGGGACCAAACCCCUGGGGUCCAAACUCUUGCAAAAGUAUCCAGCAGGCUAACCUAGAGUUUGCCAAAUUAAAAGAGAUGGCCAAGACUAAGCUCUUCUCCCGAAAAUCCUUAAAAUGUGCAGGAGCGUGGGCUGUGUGGUUAGUUGCCGAAAGUUUAGCUGAAGAAAAACAGGCAGCCCAGGUAGAAAUUCAGAAGCUAAGGGAGGAAAACAAGACACUGAAAGCAGAAAUAAAGGCUCAGAGACUUAAACUAGAGGAGGGUAUAACUCGAGAAGGAGCUGUGGCUAUGGAGCAAGUGCGAAGUGUUCUCCAGUAUCAAGAGGUGUGUGAACAAAAAAAGGCCAUUUUGAAUGAAAAUCAGGCAUUGAAGGAAAAGCUAGCCAUCAGUACAAAAGCUGUAGAGGAGGUGCAAGGAACAAUCCGAUUGCUGGUGCAAAAAAUACAGAUCCUAAAAGAGAAGAGUACAGACCACCGGGCCUGCGAGGCCAAGAUGGAAAAGUUAAAAGCAGCGUUAGAGGCGAAGCAUGUCACAGUCAUGGCCCUUAAAAAAACACCCUACCAAAGAGAUGAUGAGCUCUGGGAUGGAAAAAGAUGGGUUAAUCCAGUUGGCAGCCCCUCUGUAGAGGAGCGUAAGCCUGAGAGCCCACAGUCUCUAGUUUUUGAGAUGCCAGAAAGGUUUAAAGCAAACCCCCUUUUGCUGAGCAGUGCUCUGGUGGCUGUGAAAAGGGAAAGCGAGGGAAAUGUGCAGCCACGGGCAGAACAAGUUAUUACAGAGGGAACAACCACUGCUGACCUGGCUCCUCGCCAGUUCAAACCUGGGAGCACCCAGGGAAGGAGACAGCAGUUGGCAAGGAGUGUCUGGGCAAGGGAUGACAGAGGGAUGUCUAGGGGAAGGGGCAGCAGAGGAAAGGAAAACUCCAGGGAGAUGGGGGACCCAGAGGUGCUGCAGACCACCACCUCUGCUGGUGCGACCUCCCAGAUCUCCUUCUCGGGAAAAGGGAGGAAAGGAAGGUGGCAGGGCACGAGACAGUGGCAGUGCGGUGCAGCUCCCCGAUUUGUGGUACAAAAUACCGUGGCCAGGAGGGAGUUAAGCACGAUGCGAGUGGACAUAUGGAGGCAGCUUCGGAACCACGGGGAGGACAUGGCCCGCUGGGAUAACGCUCCCACCAGAGUUUUGUUGGAUCGCCUGCUGGAGAUCAGCGGGAGAAGAGAGGGAAGCGAGCCAGGACCCCCCCCCUCCCCAUCAUAGCCUAGGACAGACAGUCCCCCUCUUCCCCGGGCUCGUGGUCAGACCAACACCAGACCACUGGGGAAGGCUCCCAUGCGGGGAGCGAUGGGGGAUCAGAAGCAGAGCCCUCGAGGUAUCAUCCCCAUCACACGCAAAACUGGGGCACCAGCUGCAAGCUGCAGCUGAUGCAAACUGAGAAGGCUCCUCUGAUGGAGGAAACGCAGGGGGAGUGAAGCAUUAAGGGGUUUUUGGUUUGCUUAUUUUUACAGAAGAAACACAGAGGGAGAAUUUGACUUUUCCAGCAAGAGCAGUCAGGGCUGCAGUGAGCAGAGACUGCUUUAGCUCUGUCACAGCCAUCCUGGCACCUGCUUCGCUGCACAGAGUCCAGGCAGAGAUACCAAAUGCUGCUCAGGCCAAGUUAGCAGAAGCUGUUUUGGGAAAAAAGAAGGCUUUAAGGACUGAUAAAACACUGACAUGAGUUCAGGCUGUGAUACCAGCUGGGCUGCAGCGUUUGUGAGCAAUGAUGUCCAGCAGCAGGACUGAGAAUGAACUCUAAGUAUGAAGGGCUGUGCGAGGAAGGUUACAGGAGUCCCAAGCAUGGUAUAAACCCUGAGGGUGAAGCAAGAAGAAAAGAAUAACAUCUUCUUUCUGAGUCUCCUGUAGAAAAUCCAGAAGGGUUUGGACUUAUAAAAAGAAAAACUCCCCCCAUUUUAAAAAAUAAUUCCUGCCUAAUGUCAGAGGUGAAGAAAUCAAGAGGUACAAGCAGAGCAAAUUCAAGAACUGCCAACACAAAUGAAGAAGUUCAUGUUUAGCAUUAGUAUUGUUAAAUUCAGUAGUGUGUUUUCACAUAGCAUGUGGAAGUACAUGCAGCAAAGAAAUU